RNAcentral lists this ribosomal RNA (449 nucleotides) under uncultured bacterium. RNAcentral's name for it is "partial 16S ribosomal RNA". It matches the Rfam family "Bacterial small subunit ribosomal RNA", at positions 338 to 795 of the family's 1533-position model. The record is from RNAcentral.
CCUACGGGUGGCUGCAGUAAGGAAUAUUGGUCAAUGGACGCAAGUCUGAACCAGCCAUGCCGCGUGGAGGAUGAAGGUCCUCUGGAUUGUAAACUUCUUUUAUUUGGGAAGAAACUCCCGAUUUCCAUCGGGAUUGACGGUACCAGAUGAAUAAGCACCGGCUAACUCCGUGCCAGCAGCCGCGGUAAUACGGAGGGUGCGAGCGUUAUCCGGAUUAAGUGGGUUUAAAGGGUGCGUAGAGGGAGUGGUGAAAGCUCCGGGCUUAACCCGGAAACUGCCAUUGUGACUAUUUGUCUUGAAUACUCUUGAGGUGAGCGGAAUAUGUCAUGUAGCGGUGAAAUGCUUAGAUAUGACAUAGAACACCCAUUGCGAAGGCAGCUCACUACGGAAAUAUUGACGCUGAGGCACGAAAGCGUGGGGAUCAAACAGGAUUAGAUACCCCAGUAGUC